Molecule: ribosomal RNA, 537 nt
Filed under: Penicillium paneum
Lineage: Eukaryota; Fungi; Ascomycota; Eurotiomycetes; Eurotiales; Aspergillaceae
Description: eukaryotic LSU rRNA
Rfam family: 5.8S ribosomal RNA (bases 173-325)
Source: RNAcentral
ACGAGCUGAGGGGCUCUGGGUCACCUCCCACCCGUGUUUAUUUACCUUAUUGCUUCGGCGGGCCCGCCUUCACUGGCCGCCGGGGGGCUCACGCCCCCGGGCCCGCGCCCGCCGAAGACACCCCGAACUCUGUCUGAAGAAUGAAGUCUGAGUGAAAAUAUAAAUUAUUUAAAACUUUCAACAACGGAUCUCUUGGUUCCGGCAUCGAUGAAGAACGCAGCGAAAUGCGAUACGUAAUGUGAAUUGCAAAUUCAGUGAAUCAUCGAGUCUUUGAACGCACAUUGCGCCCCCUGGUAUUCCGGGGGGCAUGCCUGUCCGAGCGUCAUUGCUGCCCUCAAGCCCGGCUUGUGUGUUGGGCCUCGUCCUCCGAUUCCGGGGGACGGGCCCGAAAGGCAGCGGCGGCACCGCGUCCGGUCCUCGAGCGUAUGGGGCUCUGUCACCCGCUCUGUAGGCCCGGCCGGCGCUUGCCGAUCAACCCAAAUUUUUAUCCAGGUUGACCUCGGAUCAGGUAGGGAUACCCGCUGAACUUAAGCAUAU